This 956-nucleotide ribosomal RNA is filed under the name Proasellus jaloniacus. RNAcentral's name for it is "16S ribosomal RNA". The stretch from base 556 to 956 matches the Rfam family "Bacterial large subunit ribosomal RNA", at positions 2048 to 2700 of the family's 2925-position model. The record is from RNAcentral. Lineage: Eukaryota; Metazoa; Arthropoda; Malacostraca; Isopoda; Asellidae.
CCCGAAGUAGGAAGAGUUAACUUACUAGUGGUUAGUGUGUUAUAACUAUCGUUAAGGUAAGUUAGAGGCGAUAUGCUAAUCAAUUCUUAUAUAUCUGGUUUAAUUUGUUAAAAUUUAAUUUAUAUGAAGAUUUUUGAAUCUAUUAAAAUAUAGUAGAAGGGGAAGCUUUCUAUAUUGAAUUGUAAUUUGAUUUUAUAGAAGGUUUAAUAAUCUUCAUUGAUUUUAAUAAAAUUUUAUUAAAUUUAAGGAGGUUAAACUAUAAACUUUUGAAAAUAGAGGAUGAUAAAUAUAUUAGUAAUUAGAGUGUAGUUAAUAAUUAAAUUUAAUAUAGGUUUUAUUAAAAAAGAAUUAAAAAAGAAUUCGGCAAAACUAAUUUCGCAUGUUUAACAAAAACAUCUCUUGAAAUAUUUCAAGUAACCUCUGCCCUAUGAAUAGUUUAAAUGGCCGCAGUACUUUGACUGUGCAAAGGUAGCAUAAUCACUUGUCUUUUAAUUGGAGGCUGGAAUGAAGGAGGCGACGAAAUUUAGGCUAUUUAACUUUAAGGUGAAAUUAACAUAAAGGUCAAAAGGCCUUUAUAGACCAAAGGGACGAUAAGACCCUAUAAAACUUUACUAUACAAUAGAUUAUAUAGGUAAGAUUUAAGCUAUAGUUUAACUGGGGCGGUUUAUAUAAAAACAAUUAGAAUUAAAAUAUUUUAAAUAGAUCUAGAGAACUUUAGUAGAAAAUGAACAAGUUACUUUAGGGAUAACAGCAUAAUUCUCCCAGAGAGUCCUAAUUGGCGGGAGAGCUUAUGACCUCGAUGUUGAAUUGGGGUGUCUAAUAUAAGUAGAAAUAUAUUGAGAUAGUCUGUUCGACUAUUAAAAUCCCACAUGAUUUGAGUUCAGACCGGCGUAAGCCAGGUUGGUUUCUAUCUUUUGGGAAGGGAAGGUUUAAAUUGUACGAAAGGACCUUUAAAC